Schistosoma rodhaini is the source of this 48-nucleotide non-coding RNA. NCBI's taxonomy places the organism in Eukaryota, Metazoa, Platyhelminthes, Trematoda, Strigeidida, Schistosomatidae. The record is from Rfam.
AUCCAUCUGAUGAGUCUCAAACAGAACGAAACUCGCGUCAAACUGGAU